AUACGGAGGAUCCGAGCGUUAUCCGGAUUUAUUGGGUUUAAAGGGUGCGCAGGCGGGAGAUUAAGUCGGCGGUGAAAUUUUGCAGCUCAACUGUAAAAGUGCCUUCGAAACUGGUUUCCUUGAGUGUAGAUGAAGUAGGCGGAAUUUGUGGUGUAGCGGUGAAAUGCAUAGAUAUCACGAGGAACUCCGAUUGCGCAGGCAGCUUACUAAACUACUACUGACGCUCAGGCACGAAGGCGUGGGGAUCAAACAGGAUUAGAUACCCUGGUAGUCCACGCAGUAAACGAUGAUUACUAGCUGUUUGCGAUACAAUGUAAGCGGCUGAGCGAAAGCGCUAAGUAAUCCACCUGGGGAGUACGUUCGCAAGAAUGAAACUCAAAUGAAUUGACGGGG
RNAcentral lists this ribosomal RNA (393 nucleotides) under uncultured bacterium. Its description in RNAcentral is "partial 16S ribosomal RNA". It matches the Rfam family "Bacterial small subunit ribosomal RNA", at positions 523 to 918 of the family's 1533-position model. The record is from RNAcentral.